RNAcentral lists this ribosomal RNA (253 nucleotides) under uncultured bacterium. RNAcentral's name for it is "partial 16S ribosomal RNA". It matches the Rfam family "Bacterial small subunit ribosomal RNA", at positions 524 to 776 of the family's 1533-position model. The record is from RNAcentral.
UACGUAGGUGGCAAGCGUUGUCCGGAUUUACUGGGCGUAAAGAGCGCGCAGGCGGCUGGCCAAGUCCGAUGUGAAAUCUCCCGGCUUAACUGGGAAACUGCAUCGGAAACUGACCGGCUUGAAGGUGGGAGAGGGUAGUGGAAUUCCCGGUGUAGUGGUGAAAUGCGUAGAUAUCGGGAGGAACACCCAGGGGGAAACCAGUCGACUGGGCAUCUACUGACGCUGAGGUGCGAGAGCGUGGGGAGCGAACCGG